RNAcentral lists this unclassified non-coding RNA (433 nucleotides) under soil metagenome. RNAcentral's name for it is "partial contains 5.8S ribosomal RNA, internal transcribed spacer 2, and large subunit ribosomal RNA". The stretch from base 1 to 120 matches the Rfam family "5.8S ribosomal RNA", at positions 35 to 154 of the family's 154-position model. The record is from RNAcentral.
GAUGAAGAACGCAGCGAAAUGCGAUACGUAAUGUGAAUUGCAGAAUUCAGUGAAUCAUCGAAUCUUUGAACGCAUAUUGCGCUCUCUGGUAUUCCGGAGAGCAUGCUUGUUUGAGUAUCAGUAAACACCUCAACUCCCUUUUCUUUUUUGAAAUGGGAGCUGGACUUGAGUGAUCCCAACACUUUUCUCACUGGAAAGUGGCGGGUCACUUGAUAUGCAGGUGCAGCUGGACUUUUCUCUGAGCUAUAAGCAUAUCUAUUUAGUCUGCCUAAAAAACAGAUUAUUACCUUUGCUGCAGCUAACAUAAAGGAGAUGAGUUCUUGUGCUGACUGAUGCAGGAUUCACAGAGACAGCUUUGCGGCUGACUUUGUAAACUCGAUCUCAAAUCAAGUAAGACUACCCGCUGAACUUAAGCAUAUCAAUAAGCGGAGGA